This 1839-nucleotide long non-coding RNA is filed under the name Homo sapiens (human). RNAcentral describes it as "non-protein coding lnc-ZNF510-2:1". The record is from RNAcentral. Lineage: Eukaryota; Metazoa; Chordata; Mammalia; Primates; Hominidae.
UACUGGUUUUUAUCAGGGCUGGUGCAACAUCAACACCCAUUAUGUUGGCUGUGGCUUUGUACGAAAAAUUUUUUUAAAGAAAAUCACUAACAUUAAGCAGAUUAAUAGAAAAAGCAUACAAAUUUAUGUAACAAGUAUACACCGGCGCCUUCAGAAUGAAGACCCAAAGCCACAGGGGAAAUUGUCAAUUUUUAUGCUUAGGUUCAACAAAGUAAAGCCGUGCAGAAAUAUGAUUGGACAAAAAGAGUAGGACCUAAUGCUAAAAGAUGGAGUGGGAAAACCCAGUGAGACCUGUUUGUCGGGGGCAGGGGUAUCCAAUCUUCUGGUUCCCCUGGGCCACUUUGGAAGAAUUGUCUUGGGCAACACAUAAAAUACACUAACGAUAGCUGAUCAGCUUUAAAAAAAAAACCUCAUGAUUUAGGAAAGUUUCCAGACCGGGUGCGGUGGCUCACGCCUGUAAUUCCAGCUUUUUGGGAGGCCGAGGCCGGCGGAUCACGAGGUCAGGAGAUCGAGACCAUCCUGGCUAACACGGUGAAACCCCGUCUCUACUAAAAAUACAAAAAAUUAGCUGGGCCUGGUGGCGGGCGCCUGUAGUCCCAGCUACUCGGGAGGCUGAGGCAGGAGAAUGGCGUGAACCGGGAGGCGGAGCUUGCAGUGAGCCGAGUUUCCGAAUUUGUGUUGAGCAGCAUUCAAAGCUGUCCUGGGGCGCAAGCCGGCUGUAGGUUGGACAGGUUUGGCCUAGAGUUUUCUUGGCCUCUCUAAGCAUGCUUCCUUCCUUCUGAAUAUGGGGCAGGACAUUCUCUGGAAUAGGGGUCUUAUGACCUACAGUCAAACAACAUGGGUCAGAUAAUUUAAUUUAUUCAUGGCCAGUUUUUACAUGGAAAGGCAAAAGGAAAAUUACAAUAACAUUUUUCGGUUUUAGGGCUGGCUCUGGGGGAAAGGCAUUCUGGAUCCUAGUUUCUAUGGCUAGCCUUGGGGGAGAAUGAGACUAAGAUACGGGAGAGUGCAGGAGAAGGUCAGAGGAAAACCUGCUUCUGAGGCCCUCAUUUGGGGGUAUUGUUUUCUGAGCUGAAAUAUUUAGGAUUGAAGUUAUGUCUUUGUAAAUUGACUUAAUGAAUUUUCAGAAAAAGCAUUAGACUAAGCAAAUAAGGCAAAAUGUUGAGUUUUCUUAUGUACAUUGAGGAAAUGCAUAUACAUAGAUGCAUAUUUUACCAUUUUCCCAGUGUUUGAAAAUGUUGCAAUAUGAAGUAAAAAGAGAUAUAGGGGUUCUACCUCCAUCAGGGUAUCUUAUAAAUUCAAAGCUACCAAGAGAAUUCAAGGUGCGUAGAAAUGUUUCUUGGGAAUAAGGCUAUGAAAUGGGAAUACAAAACUUGAAAUGGAGCACAGCAGUACUGUAAAUGAAAAGUAUCCAUAAGCAGCAGUGUCUGCCUCAAGAAAGAAAAAAAAAACUUUUCAAAUAUACUUAAUACAUGAAAAUACUCACGAUGCAAAAUAAGAAAAUAGUUAUGGGCCCAGCACGGUGGCUCACGCCUGUAAUCCCAACACUUUGGGAGGCCAAGGCAGGUGGAUCUCUUGAGGCCAAGAGUUCGAGACCAGCCUGGCCAUCAUGGUGAAACCCCAUCUCUACUAAAAGUACAAAAAUUAGCUAGGCAUGGUGACAUGCACCUGUAAUCCCAGCUAUGCAGAAGGCUGAGGCAGGAGAAUUACCUGAACCCAGGAGGUGGAGGUUGCAGUGAGCUGAGAUAGCGCCACUGCACUCCAGCCUGAACCACACAGCAAGACUCUGUCUCAGAAAAGAAAAAAAGAAAAGAAAAGAAAAUGCUUAUGUAGGUGGGGCAC